RNAcentral lists this ribosomal RNA (497 nucleotides) under uncultured bacterium. RNAcentral describes it as "partial 16S ribosomal RNA". It matches the Rfam family "Bacterial small subunit ribosomal RNA", at positions 28 to 507 of the family's 1533-position model. The record is from RNAcentral.
GAUGAACGCUGGCGGCGUGCCUGAUACAUGCAAGUCGAGCGAACGGACGAGAAGCUUGCUUCUCUGAUGUUAGCGGCGGACGGGUGAGUAACACGUGGAUAACCUACCUAUAAGACUGGGAUAACUUCGGGAAACCGGAGCUAAUACCGGAUAAUAUUUUGAACCGCAUGGUUCAAAAGUGAAAGACGGUCUUGCUGUCACUUAUAGAUGGAUCCGCGCUGCAUUAGCUAGUUGGUAAGGUAACGGCUUACCAAGGCAACGAUGCAUAGCCGACCUGAGAGGGUGAUCGGCCACACGGGAACUGAGACACGGUCCAGACUCCGACGGGAGGCAGCAGUAGGGAAUCUUACGCAAUGGGCGAGAGCCUGACGGAGCAACGCCGCGUGAGUGAUGAAGGUCUUCGGAUCGUAAAACUCUGUUAGUAGGGAAGAACAUAUGUGUAAGUAACUGUGCACAUCUUGACGGUACCUAAUCAGAAAGCCACGGCUAACUACGUG